AAAAAAAAAAAGAGCUUGAAUAUGAAGAGGAUGAGGGGGAGAAGAUUGCAACUGGGUCUGAUUUUUUCCCCCUUGCGUCUCCCUAAGUCAGCAGCAAAUGCAGAGAAAUCCAUAUAGCUGUGCUAAUACGGGACUGGCAUGAGCAGGAUUGAGACCUCUGUACUGCACAAACUCCUAUUUUGGGUAGCUUUGUUUCUGUGCAUUCUAAAAUGCUGCUCAUAAACUUGUGGCCCAAGUAUAAACUUUAUCAUCUCCCUCAGAGUUUUUGUCUUCUAUUCAAGGGAAAGGAAACAAUUUGGCUGACUUCAAGUCCCCCAGAGCUGGGGACUCAGGAAUCUGGGUUAAUCUGAGUGAGGUUUGUGGAGGUUUGAUCCAGCUUUUCUUUCUGGCUGUUGCUUAAAUCCCUCCUACCUCCCGCAUACAAGUUGUAACCGCAUCAUCUUAGUAACCCUGUGACCAAGAGGCAUGAGAGUCUCCUCUGAGACUGUAAUCUCACUCUAAACAGCUCUCUGGCGGGUGCUCAUGAGUGGUGAUACAUCAUGCAAUUUUCUCCUUUAGAGGUUUGUGGUGUCAUCUCCACCGUGAUCCCUGCCCUGCCUGGCCAGUGCUGGCGAGCCAGAGUGCAGGGCCUGCCUGGGAGAGUGUUCCUGGCACAGCUCCGCGUGCGUGGGGCCAUGAACAGUGAUAGCAACAUCCACCCCUUCCUCUUUGCCUCUCGGCCACGCUCUGGCAGGAAAGAAACCUGUUUAGGAUGGCAGGGGACUUUACUGGUGUAGCAAAGUAAUCCUCAAUAAGCUCGGGACUUUUCCGUAAUGGUAUUUAAUAUGCAGAUAGUCAAACGAAUGCCACUGUGAUAUAUUUUUAUGGACAAAUAUUAUAUAUUAAGCCCUGAUUUAUACGUUUGAGCGUAAUACCUGGGGCUCUGAGGAGAGCCUUUAAUCUCUGUCAGCGAGGCAGCAUGCAUGCUAAAGCGCCGAGUAAAUCUGCACGGGAGUGCUGAACUGAGCACAGCAUAUAUCAGACUUCUUCCGCCUGAUAAAAUUAAAUACACGAGACCACCUUUCUGUGACAUUACUGGGCUGAUACACAGGGGCUGGCAGCAGGAAAUACCCAUCUGUGCUUCCCACUCUGACCCAAACCUGCACCAUUCCUGCUGCAUCCCAAGGGUGCCACCUCAAGGCCCCACAAGCCGUUCCUGGGUGGAGGAAGGUCCCUGUCCGCGACGUUCCCCCUGUCCUUCCAUCACCUCGCUCCCCUGUGACCGCCUGGGCACAGCUGAGGGGCUGCCCGUGCCCUAUUUCCCCUUCAUCAGCGCAGGUAGUAAGGCCCGUUGCAAGGAAAACAUGUUUCCCAGCCUGAUCUGCACACAUGGAUCAUG
This 1378-nucleotide long non-coding RNA is filed under the name Chloebia gouldiae (Gouldian finch). RNAcentral describes it as "Erythrura gouldiae (Gouldian finch) lncRNA (ENSEGOG00005006899.1)". The record is from RNAcentral. Lineage: Eukaryota; Metazoa; Chordata; Aves; Passeriformes; Passeridae.